This 253-nucleotide ribosomal RNA is filed under the name uncultured bacterium. Its description in RNAcentral is "partial 16S ribosomal RNA". It matches the Rfam family "Bacterial small subunit ribosomal RNA", at positions 524 to 776 of the family's 1533-position model. The record is from RNAcentral.
UACGUAGGGUGCAAGCGUUAAUCGGAAUUACUGGGCGUAAAGCGUGCGCAGGCGGUUCGUUGUGUCGGCGGUGAAAGCCCCGGGCUUAACCUGGGAAUGGCCGUUGAAACUGGCGAACUGGAGUGUGGCCGAGGGGGGUGGAAUUCCGCGUGUAGCAGUGAAAUGCGUAGAGAUGUGGAGGAACACCGAUGGCGAAGGCAGCCUCCUGGGCCAGCACUGACGCUCAUGCACGAAAGCGUGGGGAGCAAACAGG